GGCGCUCUGCCCGAGUGGUUAAGGGGUAAGUCUCGAAUUUUAAUUCGUUCAUCUCGAGAAGAUGAGUAAACUUAUAGGCUCUGCCUGCGUCGGUUCAAAUCCGACGGGCGUCG
Molecule: non-coding RNA, 113 nt
Organism: Melanopsichium pennsylvanicum
Lineage: Eukaryota; Fungi; Basidiomycota; Ustilaginomycetes; Ustilaginales
Source: the annotation of a GenBank genome assembly